ACAAAGAAAUAGUACACUCUCUUUCUCCUCCUUUUUAGAUCAAACAACACUUUUUGAAUGUUCUUGUUCAACAAUACAUGAAGAACAUGAAGAACACCAAGAACAUUCAAAGUUUGACCCAAAGUUGACCCUUAAGUAAAUGAACUCAGAAUUUGAUUUUUCUUGAAGAUCCAAACUCACGUUGAUAAUCCAACCACAAAUAUCAUGUUUUCAUCUCCAAAAACGUCAACAACAACCUUCCACAAUGAGAUCUCACCUUCAAGUUUCUUCAAACUCAAGAUCAACAAUGGUGGAUGGCUCAAAUCACCUUCAAUUUAGCUCAAAUUCAAACCCUAGACUCCUAUAGUGUUAGAGAACACAAAUCUAACACUAAAAACACACAAAAAAAAAAUCAAAAACUCAA
Molecule: long non-coding RNA, 403 nt
Filed under: Capsicum annuum
Lineage: Eukaryota; Viridiplantae; Streptophyta; Magnoliopsida; Solanales; Solanaceae
Description: long non-coding RNA (CANN_LNC011331)
Source: RNAcentral